RNAcentral lists this non-coding RNA (23 nucleotides) under Cricetulus griseus (Chinese hamster). Lineage: Eukaryota; Metazoa; Chordata; Mammalia; Rodentia; Cricetidae. The record is from RNAcentral.
AGGAAGUAGACACCCUAGUCUGU